UGGUUUUCAGAACUGAGGCCAUAAUUAAGAGGGAUGCUUGGGGGCAUUAAUAAUGUGUCACUGAAGGUGAAAUUCUUGGACUGGUGCAUGACGAACCAGAGGGAAAGCAUUUGCCAAGAAUGUUUUCAUUAAUCAAGAAAGAAAGUCGGAAUUUCAAAGACGAUCAGACACUGUCGUAAUUCCCACCAUAAAUGAUGCUGACUGUGGAUGCAGUGGCGUUAUUCCCUUGAUCCCCGGGCAGCUUCCCGGAAACCUAAGUCUUUGGGUUCUGGGGGGAAUAUGGUUGCAAAGCAGAAACUUAAAGUAAUUGAUGGAAGGGCACCACUAGGAGUGGAGCCUGCGACUUAAUUUGACUCAACAAGGGAAACAUCACCCAGUCCGGAUAUGGACAGGAUUGACAGAUUAAUAGCUCUUUCUCAAUUCCAUCAGUGGUGGUGCAUGGCUGUUAUUAGUUGGUGGAGCGAUUUGUCUGGUUAGUUCUGAUAAGGAAGGAGACUCUGGCAUGCUAACUAGUUAAGCGACCCUGAGCUGUCAGCAUCCCCCAACUUCUUAGAGGGACAAGUGGUGUUCAAACACCCGAUUGAGAAAUAACAGGUCUGUGAUGCCCUUAGAUGUCUGGGAUGAACACACACAACACUGACUGGCUCAGCGUGUGCCUACUUUAUGCUGGCAGGCCUGGGUAACCCGUUGAUGGGGACUGGGGAUUGCAAUUAUUCCCCAUGAACAAGGAAUUCCCAGUAAGUGCGGGUCACACGAUUGUGUGGAUUAAAUCCCUGCCCUUUGUACACACACCCAUCCUACAAUUGGAUGAUUUAGUGAGGCCCUGAGAUCGGCCCUGCUGGGGUUGGCCCAUGGCCCUGGUUGAGUGCUGAGAAGACAGUCAAACAUGACUACCUAGAGGAAGUAAAAUUUGCAAGGAUCAUUA
This 925-nucleotide non-coding RNA is filed under the name Cricetulus griseus (Chinese hamster). RNAcentral describes it as "Eukaryotic small subunit ribosomal RNA". It matches the Rfam family "Eukaryotic small subunit ribosomal RNA", at positions 845 to 1831 of the family's 1831-position model. The record is from Rfam by way of RNAcentral. Lineage: Eukaryota; Metazoa; Chordata; Mammalia; Rodentia; Cricetidae.